GAUGAACGCUGGCGGCGUGCCUAAUACAUGCAAGUCGAGCGAACGGACGAGAAGCUUGCUUUUCUGAUGUUAGCGGCGGACGGGUGAGUAACACGUGGAUAACCUACCUAUAAGACUGGGAUAACUUCGGGAAACCGGAGCUAAUAUCGGAUAAUAUUUUGAACCGCCUGGUUCAAAAGUGAAAGACGGUCUUGCUGUCACUUAUAGAUGGAUCCGCGCUGCAUUAGCUAGUUGGUAAGGUAACGGCUUACCAAGGCAACGAUGCAUAGCCGACCUGAGAGGGUGAUCGGCCACACUGGAACUGAGACACGGUCCAGACGCCUACGGGAGGCAGCAGUAGGGAAUCUUCCGCAAUGGGCGAAAGCCUGACGGAGCAACGCCGCGUGAGUGAUGAAGGUCUUCGGAUCGUAAAACUCUGUUAUUAGGGAAGAACAUAUGUGUAAGUAACUGUGCACAUCUUGACGGUACCUAAUCAGAAAGCCACGGCUAACUACGUG
RNAcentral lists this ribosomal RNA (497 nucleotides) under uncultured bacterium. RNAcentral describes it as "partial 16S ribosomal RNA". It matches the Rfam family "Bacterial small subunit ribosomal RNA", at positions 28 to 507 of the family's 1533-position model. The record is from RNAcentral.